GGACCCUUGGGGUAGCGGAUUAUCCUGUUGGCCUUCGAAGCCGAUGACCCGGGUUCGAAUCCCGGGGGGUCCGCCA
RNAcentral lists this transfer RNA (76 nucleotides) under Gammaproteobacteria bacterium. RNAcentral describes it as "tRNA-Arg". It matches the Rfam family "tRNA". From Rfam's summary of the family: Transfer RNA (tRNA) molecules are approximately 80 nucleotides in length. Their secondary structure includes four short double-helical elements and three loops (D, anti-codon, and T loops). RNAcentral also lists the same sequence under 1 other name. The record is from RNAcentral. Lineage: Bacteria; Pseudomonadati; Pseudomonadota; Gammaproteobacteria.